CCUACGGGGUGCAGCAGUGAGUAAUAUUGGUCAAUGGUCGCAAGCCUGAACCAGCCAAGUAGCGUGAAGGAUGACUGCCCUCUGGGUUGUAAACUUCUUUUAUGCGGGGAUAAAAUGCAGUAUGUGUACUGUUUUGUAUGUCCCUUAUGAAUAAGGACCGGCUAAUUCCGUGCCAGCAGCCGCGGUAAUACGGAGGGUCCGAGCGUUAUCCGGAUUUAUUUGGUUUAAAGUGAGCGUAGGCCGGUUGUUAAUCCUGGCGUGAAAUUAUGUGGCUCAACCGUGGCACUGCGGCUGAUACGGGCAUGCUUGAGUUCGGGGGAGGUAGGCGGAAUUCGUGGUGUAGCGGUGAAAUGCUUAGAUAUCACGAAGAACUCCGAUUGCGAAGGCAGCCUACGGGAGUGUUACUGACGCUGAAGCUCGAAGGCGUGGGUAUCGAACAGGAUUAGAUACCCUAGUAGUC
Molecule: ribosomal RNA, 460 nt
Filed under: uncultured bacterium
Lineage: Bacteria
Description: partial 16S ribosomal RNA
Rfam family: Bacterial small subunit ribosomal RNA
Source: RNAcentral